Long non-coding RNA from Engraulis encrasicolus (European anchovy), 2694 nucleotides. RefSeq lists it as uncharacterized. Lineage: Eukaryota; Metazoa; Chordata; Actinopteri; Clupeiformes; Engraulidae. The record is from RefSeq and is a predicted model, not a curated record. The transcript is spliced from 6 exons.
GCAACGUGAUCUCGAAUGAAUUGCGUCUCAUUUAUCACGCAAACCAAAUCCAAAAUUGCGUCGAUAUAACGACGCAUUCUCUUUUAUGUCACACAUGCGCAGUAGCCAGCACUAUCUUUUAAGGCCAAGAGGCUUUAUUGUUAGCCUAUUUAUAACAAAAACAAAACGUUAUUCACGUUGCUUAACGUAACGACUCAUUAUAAAUAUGCUGUUAAGUCCCCACAAACUAAUACUGAGCUCUUUUGGGCUGUUAAAGUCAAGUUUUGAUUUUAGCAAGUCUUUUUCUGUUUGAUUGAAUUCAAACGAACCCUGUAAACAUUGACAUAAAUUUGUCCAGAGCGUGAUUUGCGCACAACAACCUCUAGGCCUACAACGUUUUGAAUAGUUUCAAAUAUUUCAUUCAUAAAUCCCCAGACCCCCUCCCUCUGCUACUACACCAAUGAUGUCAUUUUAUUGCGACCACUCUCUGGAUUGUGGAUUUUACGGACUGCAUUCCCAUGUACUGGGUUUAGCUGGACCGUAUUGGACUGGAGGUAAGUUAAUUUAAUUGAUAAGGUGAAUGUGCAUUAACUGCUAUAUUUGAAUGCAUCUUCCAGGUCACAUCAUUGGUUUAGUCGCCAAACUUUUCUGACUGUCACAGUUGGUUUUACCAGCCAGCUGCUUCUACUGUGUAGCCUAGCCUAGCCUACCCAUUAUUGCUCGCGUGGCAAAUUAUUCUGUCCAUAAUUAUUUAUAGCCUACUGUUUGGUUUUACAAGCGGUAUCUCGGCCUCAUCAAGCAAGCAGAACUUUGAAAACGACGUCAGAUGCGCCAAAGUUCUGCUAAAGAGAGUAAAUAGCGCGAUAUGUACUCUGAAAUCUCAUUCUGAGCAGAGCACUUGCUUGACAGGUUCACUAAUCUCUCUCUCUCUCUCUCUCUCUCUCUCUCUCUCUCUCUCCCCCCAACUUUCAGGUGACCGGGUAUUUUGUACCUGCUUCGGACUGGUUCUGUCAUUAACCUACUGAGCUGGUGCUUCUGUCCCAGGUAAAAUGUGUUUGAACUUACAUUUGCAUCUAUACAUGAAGUAGGCAGCCUAGAGCAGGAGGCGGGCGUCAGAUCAGAGGGUUGCAGGCAUCUCCAUCGCAUCGCUCCUAGGCAUCUGAAAGUGUACCGUUGCGCACAGAUCAUGCUGGUAACGAGUUAUUCAAAGGGUCUACCAAUCAUGGCAAAAACAGAAAUCCAGCUCCUCAGCCCAGGCAGUGCCAACAACCCAGCUGAUCCAGGAGCUGCAGCGAGGGGUAGUGAUAACACUCCGGGCACCCCGACUGCCCUCUUCAACCAUUCCCAUGGAAUUCAUCCUGUCCAGCCUCCGUCAGAUAAUCCAGCCCUCCUCCUCCUACUUCCAGAGACUAAUUUGCAGAUUCUAAUGGGUAUGUGCUAAGGAGAUGAUGAGUGAACACGCUGCCAGUUUGGUUGCAGUGUGUCACCGAAUUCCGUAGAUUCAUCAUCACUAUAUGGGGUGGAAGCUGCACAGACUACAACAAGGCUUCUGGGACCCCACUCCCCUCAAGCAAGACAUUUACCACCUGCUUCACCUAUGAAGGACUGAUUAUUGGCAGUGAUACCACAACGCAUACAAGCUGUUCAGCCUGCUGCCCUCCGGGUAGAGGUACAGGAGUAUCUGCUUCCGCAACUCCAGACUCGCCAACAUCUUCAUCUACCAGACUGUCAUGCCGAAUCGUCCCUCCUCUCUCCCAUCCCAGGAUGCCGAAUUAUGACCAAGUGACUGAAGAACUGCCAUACGUCUUCACUGACCAGAGGCUGUAUGGAGACUCACAGUAUAAUUCUACACGAUCCACUAUAAGUCAUAUUUUAUUUCAGGUGGUUUGAAUAGCUGUGAUACAUUAAUGAUGCCUGCCAACGAUUCUGAAUUGUGUACAGUCUGUAAUAUUUCUUCUUCAAGGGACCAGUCAAGUCGAUGUGACAGGUGAUUUUUAUACAAAACUUUGUCAAAGUUUACGUAAUUGACACAUCUGGUUGGUCCUUGUUUUGAAUUCUGAAUUGUCAAUAUACUAUAUGCCUUUAUCAGGUUUGAGCUUGGAGUUGAGUAUAUGUUAAAUUAAUAGACUGUGUUUUUUGCUAGUCUUCACAUUAAACUUAGACCGAACUGCCUUUACCUUUGGAUCGUCUGCAGUUCCCUGUUGGCCCACUACCAUCUGCCCCGCAUGGUGCGCGACACCAGACACUGGAGCAGCUGGGUCGCCACUCAUCAACGCAGAGUGAAACAGUGCUUUGACCGCUCCCACAGGGUUAAAAGCCCCACACUUGCUCCACUGGACUGAUUGAGGAUCCGCAGGCCUACCCGGGGCCACAAGCUCAAGUCAUUCUGUUCUGCCCCACUGCAAGUGACUGAGCAGCUGGGUCCCGCCAUUUUCCGCCGUGUUCGCAAGGUGCCGCCGCCUACUGCAACAGACCUGGAGGCGACCGGCCCGUACAAGGGCCCAUCCAGGCCAUCUCAGGGACUAUGUACUCUGACAAUAUGAAUGAUGUUCCUGGGUCUCCCCUGGGGAGGGGGGAAAUGUUAUGUCUGCUCUGUUGCCUGUGCUGAUAUUUCAUAUUUCCUGAUGCUACUUGAAGACAACAUAAUAACAUUUGUGCAGGGCAUGCUGGGAUCCGAGUUCAGUGAAAUAAACGUCUGGUAUGGCUAGACUUUGA